UGCACACGCAAAACGCACAAGUUGUAACAAACCUGCAGCAGAUUUGUAGCAGUGCUGUUUCAACAAUUUGUCAACAGGAUGUGUUCACACUGCUUGUUCCCAGCUUGUUGACAAGUUGGCAACGGCUUGUUGACAAGUUGCUACAACGUUGUUGAGCUCACUAGACUUGUUACAAGUUGUUCCAACAACUUGUUAUCGUCCUGCAGUUCAACAAUUUGUUGACAAGUUGUGAGCGACAACCUUGUAGCAACUUGAUAAAAUAACAGCAUUGUUACAACUUGUUGACAAGCUUGCUACAAGCCUGUUGCGAACACUUCUUGUUGACAACUGGUGAGAUUUUACGCCGUGUGUAGUCCAAAACAAGUAUCGUAGAAGAUCCACCCAUGUUAUAAUUUCACCAAAUUGUAUUUUUCCUAUUCACAAAUAAUCGAUCCUGAAUUAUUACAAUAAUAGAAAACAUUUUCAGUAUUCGAAACAUUGUUAUUUCACGUCUUAUGUGAUGUGUAUGGCCGACUAGAAAAUUUCAAAUAUCCACUAUUUCACAUUUAAUAGAAUUUACUGUUUAUCGCACUUUCCCCCCAAUUGUCUCGUUUCCAUGUUGGCCUGUUUUAGCAUGGCAGGCGCAACAUUGAAGACGAGUAAUAAACAGUAUUGAAGCACAGCUAUAUAGCCUAUAUUACACAUCACAAGUUUCUGUGAUCACAGUAGAAAUUUUGCAUAGGUAAAAUUUUGAAGGAUUUGUAAGGGAACUGACACACUGUAAAACACCAAGUCAGUUCCAUCAAACAUUUCUUACAAAUCCUUCAAAACUUAGAAUUUACCCAUGCAAAAUUCCUACUGUGAUCACAGAGACUUUGAUAAUGUCAACCAGGCUUAAACCGAGGCAAGAGUGCAAUAAACAGCGCUGUGCAUUCGAGCAGAGCUAUUGCCGUAAGAAUUCCACUGUGACCUUUAAGCCUUGGGCAAACUAGGAAACAUUGUUGUGGAAACAUUUGUGAUUCUCGAUGUUUCCUCAAAUGUUUCCAUGUUUGCCCACCCGUGGAAACAUUGUUGCGGAAACAAAAUUUGCUUCCCGAGAAGCAAAAAUGUUUGCUAGCGAAUUCAGAAACAUUUGAUGUUUCCCUAUGUUUCUCACUAAUGUUUCCUAGUGUUUGCCCACUCUGGGAAACAUGACGAAACAUUGAUAGGAAACAAUGUUUCCUAGUUUGCCCAGGGCUUUAGGUUACUGAACUGGACGAACUUCUUAUGCGCCGACUUCGUUGCAUUGUUCAAUUUGUUCAAUCACGAGUACUAAUACCAUGAGUUAUUUAAAAACAAAGCUGUAUGUAUUACGGAAGUUAUAAAAAGAUGUCCCUAAUAUAGAUAUUAAAUAAAAGCAACAUUUCAGAAAAGCCUAUCAUGAUAAAUUUCUCUAGUGUUCUGCCACUAAGUCUUCACUUGGUCAUCCAACUCCUCCAGAAUAGGUCGGGCCCAGGUGGCAACAUCAACGACCUCCGUUUCGUAUUGUUUUAUAAAUGGAUGAGCCUAAAUAUUACCAAAAUUUUAAAAACUCAUUAAUAAUUCAUGAAGAAAAGACAAAGGAAAUCACGACCGUGUCAGUGGUUUUAUAAAAUUAUGUUCAUUUACAUAAACUUUAGUUUGAUUUUCUUGACUUAGACAACGUUGAUUUUUAAAAUUACUUCGCCAAUGAACUCAUAAGAUGGUUUGUUUUUUAAGCCAUUUAAAACACUCGCA
This 1734-nucleotide long non-coding RNA is filed under the name Paramuricea clavata. The record is from RNAcentral. Lineage: Eukaryota; Metazoa; Cnidaria; Anthozoa; Malacalcyonacea; Plexauridae.